GGUGUUGUGGCUCAGCGGUAGAGCACUCACCUAGCACAUGCAAGGCCCUGGGUUCGAUCCUCAGCAACACAU
This 72-nucleotide transfer RNA is filed under the name Marmota marmota marmota (Alpine marmot). It matches the Rfam family "tRNA". Rfam says of the family: Transfer RNA (tRNA) molecules are approximately 80 nucleotides in length. The record is from Rfam by way of RNAcentral. Lineage: Eukaryota; Metazoa; Chordata; Mammalia; Rodentia; Sciuridae. RNAcentral also lists the same sequence under 3 other names.